Molecule: ribosomal RNA, 257 nt
Filed under: uncultured bacterium
Lineage: Bacteria
Description: partial 16S ribosomal RNA
Rfam family: Bacterial small subunit ribosomal RNA
Source: RNAcentral
UACGUAGGGGGGCAAGCGUUGUCCGGAUUUAUUGGGCGUAAAGAGCGUGUAGGCGGCUAGAUAGGUCCGUUGUGAAAAACUCGAGGCUCAACCUCGAGACGCCGAUGGAAACCAUCUAGCUAGAGUCCGGAAGAGGAGAAUGGAAUUCCUGGUGUAGCGGUGAAAUGCGCAGAUAUCAGGAAGAACACCCGUGGCUAAGGCGGUUCUCUAGUACGGUACUGACGCUGAGACGCGAAAAGCGUGGGGGAGCGAACAGG